UAGUUUUGUAAAAAUGCCUACCAACGAU
RNAcentral lists this small RNA (28 nucleotides) under Bombyx mori (domestic silkworm). Its description in RNAcentral is "ovarian small RNA-23238". Lineage: Eukaryota; Metazoa; Arthropoda; Insecta; Lepidoptera; Bombycidae. The record is from RNAcentral.